GGCUGUAGCUCAGUGGCAGAGCGCUUGCCUAGCAUGUGUGAGGCACUGGGUUCCAUCCUCAGUACCA
RNAcentral lists this transfer RNA (67 nucleotides) under Marmota monax (woodchuck). RNAcentral's name for it is "tRNA.Ala". The record is from RNAcentral. Lineage: Eukaryota; Metazoa; Chordata; Mammalia; Rodentia; Sciuridae.